Molecule: ribosomal RNA, 237 nt
Filed under: uncultured Staphylococcus sp.
Lineage: Bacteria; Bacillati; Bacillota; Bacilli; Caryophanales; Staphylococcaceae
Description: partial 16S ribosomal RNA
Rfam family: Bacterial small subunit ribosomal RNA
Source: RNAcentral
CGGGUGAGUAACACGUGGAUAACCUACCUAUAAGACUGGGAUAACUUCGGGAAACCGGAGCUAAUACCGGAUAAUAUUUUGAACCGCAUGGUUCAAAAGUGAAAGACGGUCUUGCUGUCACUUAUAGAUGGAUCCGCGCUGCAUUAGCUAGUUGGUAAGGUAACGGCUUACCAAGGCAACGAUGCAUAGCCGACCUGAGAGGGUGAUCGGCCACACUGGAACUGAGACACGGCCCAG